This 567-nucleotide long non-coding RNA is filed under the name Anas platyrhynchos platyrhynchos (common mallard). RNAcentral's name for it is "lncRNA (ENSAPLG00000024628.1)". Lineage: Eukaryota; Metazoa; Chordata; Aves; Anseriformes; Anatidae. The record is from RNAcentral.
UGCAGGCACAGGCGGCGCUGCCUUAGCGAUGGAAAGCAGGCAUUUCACUGUUGAUGUUCCCCAGUCAUACGGCUGACGGUUACUAGGGGAUCCUGAAGGAUGUGUUUCCCUGUGACCCUUUGAGAAGAAAAACUUAGUUGCCGCAGUAACCAAGUUUGGCUUGGAUGCAAUGAUGCAGUAAAUAUCAUAGGGCCCAACUCUGGAAACACACAUGAGUCACUGGAGAUGCUUCCUGAAGUAGCUAGCCGGCAGGGAACAGUAAAGGAAGAAUCUUCUUUACAUCCAGGGCGGUGUUUUGAAGAGCUGCAGUUGAUGGUGCUUCCUCCUAAGCAUUCCCAGGAGCUGCGUCUAUGUCUGCUUUGGUCCUGUAACAGCCUCGCACAGGGUCAGACACCCGUUUUGUAAAGAAUGCCCCAGAAAGCACUGUGUGGGUGAUGCUAUAAUGCUGCAUAUUCCUACAAUGGAGCAGUGUGUCUGCGUAAUGGUAUCAGGAAUUUUGCUUUGGAGAGUUAAUGUGAAUGCCAAAUGAUAAAUAAAAUGCUGAAAUGAAAAAUAGGCCCUAAAGAA